GUGCAUUCACUGUUAAACAAUUUUGAAAUGGCUGCCGCUUAGUGGCAAUUGGGGGAAGGGUGACAUCCGCUAUUGCUUGCAAUGGCAAUUCUAGUUAUUAUUUUUCUUCUUGCAACAAAUUUUGUCCAGGUGAUUUCUCGAAAUCCAAUGGACCAAUGUUGAUGGAACUCUACUAUAGUAAGGACCCCCAUGUGCAGAGUUGCAGGAAGCAUGGAAUGGUUCAAGAUGGCUACCGUUUCCAUGGAAACAGAACAAAUGUGAAAAAAUCCAGUUUUUUGUUUUGGUGAACUGUUUGGAUAUGCUUUAUCUCAGAAUCAUUAUAUUUUAAUACAAUGUAGGUGCCCACUAUAUACAGGUGUUGGAUGAUUUUGGUGAUCAUUGGAACUACUAUGUUGCCAUGGAAACUACACCAAAAAUUUCAAAAAUUCUCAAAAUGCUCCAAACUUCAUGAAACUUCACAGUAACGAUGAGCAACAUUGGAAGAUGUGGAAUUUGGCGUUGGAAUUUCCAAAAUAUCUGUUGUUACCUUGGAAACAAUGCAAAAAGGUCAAAACUUUGAAUUUUCACAGAACAUUCCAGAACAUCAAUGUUAAAUUUAUUCUAGAGACAUUAAAUGGUAUAUGAUUAUGGAGGGCAAAAAAUUGCAGCGGGGGUUUGACUUUGGAAUAUUCAAAAUGGCCGCCGUUACCAUGGAAACAGCAAAAAUAUGAAAAACUUCAAAAUGCUUCAAAUUUAAUGAAACUUAUAACAAAUGUUGCCUAGCUUAUGUAGACUUGACUUUUGAGUUUGGAAUUUUCAAAAUGGCCGCCGUUACCAUGGAAACAGCAAAAUUAUCCAAAAUUUCAAAAUGCUUCAAACUUAAUGAAACUUUGCAAAAAUGUUACUAGACAUCUGUAGAUGCACUUUGACUUUGGAAUUUUCAAAAUGGCUGCCGCUCACCUGGCAAUGGGGGAAGGGUGCCAUCCGUUAUUGCUAGCAAUUACAAAUCUAGUUUUUUUUCUUAUUUUUAUUCUUCCACACAUUUUGUCCACGCUAUUUCUCGGAAUUGGUCAGACCAAUGUUGAUGGAACUAUUCUAUAAUAUGAACCUCCAUGUGAAGUUGUGCAAGAGACAUUGGAAUGGUAAAAAAUGGCCGCCGUUACCAUGGAAACUGCAAAAAUGUAAAAAAAAAUUCAAAAUUCUAAAUCUUUUAUUAUAAGAGCCAACCUAAUGAAACUUUAUGUAAAUGUUGGCAGUGGUGCCCUGAGGUACCAACAGUACUUAGCUUCUGCAAAAUCUGUACCAUUGCCAUGGAAACUGGAGAAAAGUUUAACAUUGAACCUAUGGGAAAAAACAUCAAACCAGCCUUUUCUAAAGGAAUAUAAGAUCAAACUCAAAGAAACUUUAUGAAUAUAUAACAUGGCAUAAGUCGAUAUUGAAACUGUUGUUGGAAUUUUCCAAAUGGAUACCGUUACCAUGGAAACAGCAAAAAUGUCCAAAAAUCUCAAAAUGCUCCAAACUUAAUGAAACUCAUUAUAAAUGACCA
This 1525-nucleotide long non-coding RNA is filed under the name Mytilus galloprovincialis (Mediterranean mussel). Lineage: Eukaryota; Metazoa; Mollusca; Bivalvia; Mytilida; Mytilidae. The record is from RNAcentral.